RNAcentral lists this ribosomal RNA (253 nucleotides) under uncultured bacterium. RNAcentral describes it as "partial 16S ribosomal RNA". It matches the Rfam family "Bacterial small subunit ribosomal RNA", at positions 524 to 776 of the family's 1533-position model. The record is from RNAcentral.
UACGAAGGGGGCUAGCGUUGUUCGGAUUUACUGGGCGUAAAGCGCGUGUAGGCGGGUCGGUAAGUUGGGGGUGAAAUCCCGAGGCUCAACCUCGGAACUGCCUUCAAAACUGGCGACCUGGAGCAAAGAAGAGGCGAGUGGAAUUGCGAGUGUAGAGGUGAAAUUCGUAGAUAUUCGCAGGAACACCAGUGGCGAAGGCGACUCGCUGGUCUUUUGCUGACGCUGAGACGCGAAAGCGUGGGGAGCAAACAGG